RNAcentral lists this ribosomal RNA (643 nucleotides) under Filobasidium globisporum. RNAcentral describes it as "eukaryotic LSU rRNA". It matches the Rfam family "Eukaryotic large subunit ribosomal RNA", at positions 38 to 667 of the family's 3401-position model. The record is from RNAcentral. Lineage: Eukaryota; Fungi; Basidiomycota; Tremellomycetes; Filobasidiales; Filobasidiaceae.
GCAUAUCAAUAAGCGGAGGAAAAGAAACUAACAAGGAUUCCCCUAGUAACGGCGAGUGAAGCGGGAAGAGCUCAAAUUUGAAAUCUGGUGGCCUCAGGUCAUCCGAGUUGUAAUCUAUAGAAGUGUUUUCCGUGCUGGCUCGUGUACAAGUCCCUUGGAACAGGGCGUCAUAGAGGGUGAGAAUCCCGUCCUUGACAUGAACUACCAGUGCUCUGUGAUACAUUUUCAACGAGUCGAGUUGUUUGGGAAUGCAGCUCAAAAUGGGUGGUAAAUUCCAUCUAAAGCUAAAUAUUGGCGAGAGACCGAUAGCGAACAAGUACCGUGAGGGAAAGAUGAAAAGCACUUUGGAAAGAGAGUUAAACAGUAUGUGAAAUUGUUAAAAGGGAAACGAUUGAAGUCAGUCGUGCUCUUUGGAUUCAGCCGGUUCUGCCGGUGUACUUCCUUUGAGUGGGGUCAACAUCAGUUUUGAUCGCUGGAUAAAGGCUGGAGGAACGUAGCACCCCCGGGUGAACUUAUAGCCUCCUGUCACAUACAGUGGUUGGGACUGAGGAACGCAGCACGCCUUUAUGGCCAGGAUCCGUCCAUGUACGUGCUUAGGAUGUUGACAUAAUGGCUUUAAACGACCCGUCUUGAAACACGGACC